Molecule: ribosomal RNA, 267 nt
Filed under: uncultured bacterium
Lineage: Bacteria
Description: partial 16S ribosomal RNA
Rfam family: Bacterial small subunit ribosomal RNA
Source: RNAcentral
AUGGUUUAGUGGCGGACGGGUGAGUAACACGUGAGCAACCUACCUUUCAGAGGGGGAUAACAGUUGGAAACAGGUGCUAAUACCGCAUAAGCGCACAGGGCCGCAUGGCCCGGUGUGAAAAACUCCGGUGGUGUAAGAUGGACCCGCGUCUGAUUAGCUUGUUGGCGGGGUAGGGGCCCACCAAGGCGACGAUCAGUAGCCGGCCUGAGAGGGUGGACGGCCACAUUGGGACUGAGACACGGCCCAAACUCCUACGGAAGGCAGCAG